This 246-nucleotide ribosomal RNA is filed under the name uncultured bacterium. RNAcentral describes it as "partial 16S ribosomal RNA". It matches the Rfam family "Bacterial small subunit ribosomal RNA", at positions 87 to 334 of the family's 1533-position model. The record is from RNAcentral.
UAUGGCGACCGGCGCACGGGUGAGUAACACGUAUCCAACCUGCCGAUGACUCGGGGAUAGCCUUUCGAAAGAAAGAUUAAUACCCGAUGGCAUAGUUCUUCCGCAUGGUAGAACUAUUAAAGAAUUUCGGUCAUCGAUGGGGAUGCGUUCCAUUAGGUUGUUGGCGGGGUAACGGCCCACCAAGCCUUCGAUGGAUAGGGGUUCUGAGAGGAAGGUCCCCUACAUUGGAACUGAGACACGGUCCAA